UACGAAGGGGGCUAGCGUUGUUCGGAAUUACUGGGCGUAAAGCGCGCGCAGGCGGCUAUCCAAGUCAGUGGUGAAAGCCCGGAGCUCAACUCCGGAACUGCCAUUGAAACUGUUUAGCUUGAGGACGAGAGAGGUGAGUGGAAUUCCCAGUGUAGAGGUGAAAUUCGUAGAUAUUGGGAAGAACACCGGUGGCGAAGGCGGCUCACUGGCUCGUAUCUGACGCUCAGGCGCGAUAGCGUGGGGAUCAAACAGGAUUAGAUACCCUGGUAGUCCACGCCGUAAACGAUGAAUGCCAGCCGUUGGAUAGCUUGCUAUUCAGUGGCGCAGCUAACGCAUUAAGCAUUCCGCCUGGGGAGUACGGCCGCAAGGUUG
RNAcentral lists this ribosomal RNA (372 nucleotides) under uncultured prokaryote. Its description in RNAcentral is "bacterial SSU rRNA". It matches the Rfam family "Bacterial small subunit ribosomal RNA", at positions 524 to 896 of the family's 1533-position model. The record is from RNAcentral.